RNAcentral lists this ribosomal RNA (1199 nucleotides) under Acinetobacter baumannii IS-116. RNAcentral's name for it is "bacterial LSU rRNA". It matches the Rfam family "Bacterial large subunit ribosomal RNA", at positions 1747 to 2925 of the family's 2925-position model. Lineage: Bacteria; Pseudomonadati; Pseudomonadota; Gammaproteobacteria; Moraxellales; Moraxellaceae. The record is from RNAcentral.
UACGCUGUUGUUGGUGAUGGAACUCGCUUCCUGAGCUGACGACAGCCGCAGAAACCAGGCCGCUGCAACUGUUUAUUAAAAACAUAGCACUCUGCAAACACGAAAGUGGACGUAUAGGGUGUGAUGCCUGCCCGGUGCUGGAAGGUUAAUUGAUGGGGUUAGCGUAAGCGAAGCUCUUGAUCGAAGCCCCAGUAAACGGCGGCCGUAACUAUAACGGUCCUAAGGUAGCGAAAUUCCUUGUCGGGUAAGUUCCGACCUGCACGAAUGGCAUAAUGAUGGCGGCGCUGUCUCCAGCAGAGGCUCAGUGAAAUCGAAAUCGCUGUGAAGAUGCAGUGUACCCGCGGCUAGACGGAAAGACCCCGUGAACCUUUACUGCAGCUUGACACUGAACUUUGACCUUACUUGUGUAGGAUAGGUGGGAGGCUUUGAAGCUGGAACGCUAGUUCCAGUGGAGCCGUCCUUGAAAUACCACCCUGGUAAUGUUGAGGUUCUAACUCUGUCCCGUGAUCCGGGACGAGGACCGUGUCUGGUGGGUAGUUUGACUGGGGCGGUCUCCUCCUAAAGAGUAACGGAGGAGUACGAAGGUGCGCUCAGCGUGGUCGGAAAUCACGCGUAGAGUAUAAAGGCAAAAGCGCGCUUAACUGCGAGACCCACAAGUCGAGCAGGUACGAAAGUAGGUCUUAGUGAUCCGGUGGUUCUGUAUGGAAGGGCCAUCGCUCAACGGAUAAAAGGUACUCUGGGGAUAACAGGCUGAUACCGCCCAAGAGUUCAUAUCGACGGCGGUGUUUGGCACCUCGAUGUCGGCUCAUCUCAUCCUGGGGCUGAAGCAGGUCCCAAGGGUAUGGCUGUUCGCCAUUUAAAGAGGUACGCGAGCUGGGUUUAGAACGUCGUGAGACAGUUCGGUCCCUAUCUACCGUGGGCGCUGGAAAUUUGAGAGGAUCUGCUCCUAGUACGAGAGGACCAGAGUGGACGAACCUCUGGUGUACCGGUUGUGACGCCAGUCGCAUCGCCGGGUAGCUAUGUUCGGAAGGGAUAACCGCUGAAAGCAUCUAAGCGGGAAGCCUACCUCAAGAUAAGAUUUCCCUAGGACUUUAUGUCCUCUAAAGAGCCGUUCGAGACUAGGACGUUGAUAGGUUGGAUGUGGAAGCAUAGUGAUAUGUGAAGCUGACCAAUACUAAUUGCUCGUGAGGCUUGACUAU